RNAcentral lists this ribosomal RNA (539 nucleotides) under Morchella sp. Mes-26. RNAcentral's name for it is "eukaryotic LSU rRNA". It matches the Rfam family "Eukaryotic large subunit ribosomal RNA", at positions 73 to 625 of the family's 3401-position model. The record is from RNAcentral. Lineage: Eukaryota; Fungi; Ascomycota; Pezizomycetes; Pezizales; Morchellaceae.
GAUUGCCUCAGUAACGGCGAGUGAAGCGGCAAAAGCUCAAAUUUUAAAGCUGGCACCUCCGGUGUCCGCGUUGUAAUUUUGUGAGGCAUCUCCGGGUGGGGCGCCGGCCUAAGUUCCUUGGAACAGGACGUCAUAGAGGGUGAGAAUCCCGUGCUUGGCUGGCUGUCCCCGUCCAUGUGAGGUGUCUUCGACGAGUCGAGUUGUUUGGGAAUGCAGCUCAAAAUGGGUGGUAAAUUUCAUCUAAAGCUAAAUAUUGGUGGGAGACCGAUAGCGCACAAGUAGAGUGAUCGAAAGAUGAAAAGCACUUUGAAAAUAGAGUUAAAAAGUACGUGAAAUUGUUGAAAGGGAAGCGCUUGAGACCAGACUUCGGUGGGGAGUGAUCAGCUGUCCUUCUGGGCGGUGCACUUGCUCCCCUCCGGGCCAGCAUCGGUUGGGACGGCGGGAUAAAGGUCCUGGGAAUGUGGCUCCUUUCGGGGAGUGUUAUAGCCCGGGUGAAUGCCGCCAGCCCCGACCGAGGACCGCGCCUUCGGGCUAGGAUG